Molecule: ribosomal RNA, 421 nt
Filed under: uncultured Dysgonomonas sp.
Lineage: Bacteria; Pseudomonadati; Bacteroidota; Bacteroidia; Bacteroidales; Dysgonomonadaceae
Description: bacterial SSU rRNA
Rfam family: Bacterial small subunit ribosomal RNA
Source: RNAcentral
GAGGAAUAUUGGUCAAUGGGCGAGAGCCUGAACCAGCCAAGUCGCGUGAAGGAAGACUGCCUUAUGGGUUGUAAACUUCUUUUAUACAGGAAUAAAAAGGCUUACGUGUAGGCCAUUGCAAGUACUGUAUGAAUAAGCAUCGGCUAACUCCGUGCCAGCAGCCGCGGUAAUACGGAGGAUGCGAGCGUUAUCCGGAUUUAUUGGGUUUAAAGGGUGCGCAGGCGGGCUUUUAAGUCAGCGGUGAAAUCUGGACGCUUAACGUCCAAACUGCCGUUGAAACUGGGAGUCUUGAGUAUGGAUGAAGUAGGCGGAAUUCGUUGUGUAGCGGUGACAUGCAUAGAUAUAACGAGGAACUCCGAUUGCGUAGGCAGCUUACUAAGCCAUAACUGACGCUCAUGCACGAAAGCGUGGGGAUCAAACA